AUGAACGCUGGCGGCGUGCCUAAUACAUGCAAGUCGAGCGAACAGACGAGGAGCUUGCUCCUCUGACGUUAGCGGCGGACGGGUGAGUAACACGUGGAUAACCUACCUAUAAGACUGGGAUAACUUCGGGAAACCGGAGCUAAUACCGGAUAAUAUAUUGAACCGCAUGGUUCAAUAGUGAAAGACGGUUUUGCUGUCACUUAUAGAUGGAUCCGCGCCGCAUUAGCUAGUUGGUAAGGUAACGGUUACCAAGGCAACGAUGCGUAGCCGACCUGAGAGGGUGAUCGGCCACACUGGAACUGAGACACGGUCCAGACUCCUACGGGAGGCAGCAGUAGGGAAUCUUCCGCAAUGGGCGAAAGCCUGACGGAGCAACGCCGCGUGAGUGGUGAAGGUCUUCGGAUCGUAAAACUCUGUUAUUAGGGAAGAACAAAUGUGUAAGUAACUAUGCACGUCUUGACGGUACCUAAUCAGAAAGCCACGGCUAACUACGUG
RNAcentral lists this ribosomal RNA (495 nucleotides) under uncultured bacterium. Its description in RNAcentral is "partial 16S ribosomal RNA". It matches the Rfam family "Bacterial small subunit ribosomal RNA", at positions 29 to 507 of the family's 1533-position model. The record is from RNAcentral.